AUAAAUGCUAAGAAAAAGAGGAGUAGAUUUAAACUAUCUAGAAAAGAGAAAAGAAGUCACCGGCUGAAAGCUUCUUAUAGAAAAGAAAAUUGAAGGUAGCUUUGGAGCAGAUAUAUUGAAAUAAUAGUAAAUAUAUUCGUUUAGUUUGCGUUACAAAACUCAAGAGAUAUAUAUUUAAAAUAUAUAACUAAGGUGGUACCGUGAGAAUAUUCUCGCCCUUACA
RNAcentral lists this non-coding RNA (223 nucleotides) under Clostridium sp. Its description in RNAcentral is "T-box sequence". It matches the Rfam family "T-box leader". Rfam says of the family: Uncharged tRNA acts as the effector for transcription antitermination of genes in the T-box leader family. T-boxes are found upstream of many aminoacyl-tRNA synthetase genes and some amino acid biosynthetic genes usually in Gram-positive bacteria. The anticodon of a specific tRNA base pairs to a specifier sequence within the T-box motif, and the NCCA acceptor tail of the tRNA base pairs to a conserved bulge in the T-box antiterminator hairpin. The record is from RNAcentral. Lineage: Bacteria; Bacillati; Bacillota; Clostridia; Eubacteriales; Clostridiaceae.